UACGGGGGGGGCAAGCGUUGUUCGGAAUUACUGGGCGUAAAGGGCGUGUAGGUGGCCAACUAAGUCAGACGUGAAAUCCCUCGGCUUAACCGGGGAACUGCGUCUGAUACUGGAUGGCUUGAGUGUGGGAGAGGGAUGCGGAAUUCCAGGUGUAGCGGUGAAAUGCGUAGAUAUCUGGAGGAACACCGGUGGCGAAGGCGGCAUCCUGGACCAUUACUGACACUGAAACGCGAAAGCCAGGGGAGCAAACGGG
This 253-nucleotide ribosomal RNA is filed under the name uncultured bacterium. RNAcentral describes it as "partial 16S ribosomal RNA". It matches the Rfam family "Bacterial small subunit ribosomal RNA", at positions 524 to 776 of the family's 1533-position model. The record is from RNAcentral.